Molecule: long non-coding RNA, 1062 nt
Filed under: Fragaria vesca (wild strawberry)
Lineage: Eukaryota; Viridiplantae; Streptophyta; Magnoliopsida; Rosales; Rosaceae
Description: long non-coding RNA (FVES_LNC004156)
Source: RNAcentral
CCGGAGGAGGAAGUUCCGGCGAAGGGAAGCUCGGGGCAGCCCUUGCUUUCGGGCGGCACCGCUCUCUCACGGCGGCGCUAGGGCUCCUCUCACCGGUCUAGAAAUGUUGCUGGGAGGGAGACCGACCGAACGGGACCGGUCCGGCGGCGAACGGAGAUCGGACGGCGGCGGGAGGACGGCCGGAAUUCUGCUGGGUGUAGAGAGAAGAAAAUCGGGUGGGAGGAGAAGAAAAAUCGGGAGGGAGGGAGAAGAGAAAGAAGAAGAAAUGGGUUGGGCUCGGCCCAACCGACCCAACACCCCUUUUAACCCAUAAUUCCAAAAUUCAACACCCCGAAAAAUAAUACCCGAAUAAAAAUUACCUUUUACUAGCUAAAAUUUACUAUUUUUACCGUCGUCGUAUUUUCCUCAUACGAAUAAUCCUCCGCACAUAAUCGUCCCCGAAACCCCUCUAGGGACCAAUUAAACUAUUUACUCAAUGAUCGAGACGGUAAAAUUCUUAUUAUAAUCACGCUAGUAAAUAAGGUAAAAAUAUAAGGGUCGGGAUGUGACAAUUCUCCCCUCCUUAUAAAAAUUUCGUCCUCGAAAUUAAUAUACAUGUCAUCCGAAGAGAUACGGAUACUGCUGCAUCAUUUGCUCCUCUGAUUCCCAAGUAGCUUCUUCUACUUGAUGACUUCUCCACAGCACCUUAACAAGCGGGAUUGUCUUGUUCCUAAGCACUUGCUCCUUUCGGUCGAGAAUCUGAACCGGUUCCUCUUCAUAGGUCAAAUCUCUCGUCAAACUGAUCGGUUGCUCUUGCAGCACAUGAGAAGGAUCGGCAAUAUACUUGCGAAGCAUGGAUACAUGAAACACCUUAUGUAUCCUAGCUAACUCUGGAGGCAAGGCUAAUCGAUAAGCAAGUGAGCCAACUCGCUCUAUAAUCUCAUAAGGGCCAAUAUACCUCGGGCUAAGCUUCCCACGCUUACCGAAACGCACAAUCCCUUUCCAAGGAGAUAAUUUCAGGAACACCCAAUCACCCACUUGAAAUUCAAGAUCUCUCCUACGGACAUCCGCAUAACUUUCUGC